This 227-nucleotide ribosomal RNA is filed under the name uncultured bacterium. Its description in RNAcentral is "partial 16S ribosomal RNA". It matches the Rfam family "Bacterial small subunit ribosomal RNA", at positions 109 to 334 of the family's 1533-position model. The record is from RNAcentral.
AGUAACGCGUGGGUAACCUGCCUCAUACAGGGGGAUAACAAGUUAGAAAUGACUGCUAAUACCGCAUAAGCGCACAGUGCUGGCAUGGCACAGUGUGAAAAACUCCGGUGGUAUGAGAUGGACCCGCGUCUGAUUAGCUAGUUGGUGGGGUAACGGCCUACCAAGGCGACGAUCAGUAGCCGGCCUGAGAGGGUGAACGGCCACAUUGGGACUGAGACACGGCCCAA